This 174-nucleotide ribosomal RNA is filed under the name uncultured bacterium. Its description in RNAcentral is "partial 16S ribosomal RNA". It matches the Rfam family "Bacterial small subunit ribosomal RNA", at positions 348 to 514 of the family's 1533-position model. The record is from RNAcentral.
GCAGCAGUGGGGAAUAUUGCACAAUGGGGGAAACCCUGAUGCAGCCAUGCCGCGUGUGUGAAGAAGGCCUUCGGGUUGUAAAGCACUUUCAGCGAGGAGGAAAGGUUGGUAGCUAAUAACUGCCAGCUGUGACGUUACUCGCAGAAGAAGCACCGGCUAACUCCGUGCCAGCAG